GGGAGGGCUGUGAGGGCGACCCGGGAGGGCCCGGAUUAGGAAAAGGAGCGCGACUUUGUGGUGGGGCUGGAAAAGGAAGUCGAACUGGGAAUGGCCGGGGGGAGGAGCGCGGCCCAACCAAGAAAACUAUACGAAUUUCUAAAAAUUGUAUAUGCCUGACACAAAGACCUAUGAAGAAUUAGGCAAGACUUAUGGGUUUCAAGUUGGACAUAUACUUCAAAAUCCCAUGGAAAUUCACAAGGCAUAAAACCCUCUUCAAAUAAUAAGAUACAAGACAGCUCUCACUGAAUACUGAAAGCUAGGGUUGG
RNAcentral lists this long non-coding RNA (308 nucleotides) under Urocitellus parryii (Arctic ground squirrel). RNAcentral's name for it is "lncRNA (ENSUPAG00010020049.1)". Lineage: Eukaryota; Metazoa; Chordata; Mammalia; Rodentia; Sciuridae. The record is from RNAcentral.